RNAcentral lists this ribosomal RNA (465 nucleotides) under Vreelandella stevensii. RNAcentral describes it as "partial 16S ribosomal RNA". It matches the Rfam family "Bacterial small subunit ribosomal RNA", at positions 338 to 795 of the family's 1533-position model. The record is from RNAcentral. Lineage: Bacteria; Pseudomonadati; Pseudomonadota; Gammaproteobacteria; Oceanospirillales; Halomonadaceae.
CCUACGGGGGGCAGCAGUGGGGAAUAUUGGACAAUGGGCGAAAGCCUGAUCCAGCCAUGCCGCGUGUGUGAAGAAGGCCUUCGGGUUGUAAAGCACUUUCAGUGGGGAAGAAAGCCUUGGGGCUAAUACCCUCGAGGAAGGACAUCACCCACAGAAGAAGCACCGGCUAACUCCGUGCCAGCAGCCGCGGUAAUACGGAGGGUGCGAGCGUUAACCGGAAUUACUGGGCGUAAAGCGCGCGUAGGCGGUCUGAUAAGCCGGUUGUGAAAGCCCCGGGCUCAACCUGGGAACGGCAUCCGGAACUGUCAGGCUAGAGUGCAGGAGAGGAAGGUAGAAUUCCCGGUGUAGCGGUGAAAUGCGUAGAGAUCGGGAGGAAUACCAGUGGCGAAGGCGGCCUUCUGGACUGACACUGACGCUGAGGUGCGAAAGCGUGGGUAGCAAACAGGAUUAGAUACCCUGGUAGUC